UUCGCCGGUCAUAGGGUCUUGGAAACGCCCGAUCCCAUUCCGAACUCGGAAGCUAAGCAGGACCACGUCCCGUUUCCCUGUGGUGCGAGAGCCUACGAGGGCCCGGGAUUCUGGCGAGC
This 119-nucleotide ribosomal RNA is filed under the name Candidatus Bathyarchaeota archaeon RBG_16_48_13. RNAcentral also lists the same sequence under 1 other name. Lineage: Archaea; Thermoproteati; Candidatus Bathyarchaeota. The record is from RNAcentral.